This 30-nucleotide non-coding RNA is filed under the name Rattus norvegicus (Norway rat). The record is from RNAcentral. Lineage: Eukaryota; Metazoa; Chordata; Mammalia; Rodentia; Muridae.
UGACCUCGCUUUGUGUGAUCACUCCCACAA